GAAGGAACAAGGACAACGAACAGAGGAGGAGAAAGGGAGAGAAGAAAAGAAAAGAAGAAGAUGGGAAGGGAGAAAGAGGUAGAGAUUUUGGGCUCGAUGAUGAGUCGGUCUUAUGGAGAGUUUCUGUUCUAAAAUAGGAUUUUGGUCUAGGAGUUUCGGGUACUGCAACUAGGAAGAUGUGAGAAUUUGAUCUCAUGAUCAUGGAAUUUCACCAUCGAAAUUCCGGAUGUUGAAGAAUUGAAAGAAGUUGGGCAGAUCUUCUAGAGCCUUGUUUUCAUUCUAGUUCUGGUCCUAUUUAGGAUUUGAGAUUGAAACUUUCACAUAAGGGUUUCUGUACUAGUGCAGCUGCUAAAGUCUCCAGCUCCAGUGGUGCUCAACCAAGCAAUGGCACAGAUUUUUGGAUGGCCACAGAAGAAUUUAGUUGCUUCGAUUCCUCUAAGAAAGGAUGAUGAUGUAGAAAGCCAGAUUGGAGCAGGGUGUCUUAAUGUGAAGGUCAUAUGAACGGUUCACCACACCCGAGGAGAGUUGAUAUGAUCUCCAACCUAUUGCAGCUAUGUGUAACUAUUGUUGGCUUUGAAAAAAAAUGUUCAGCCUCGUUA
Rosa rugosa (rugosa rose) is the source of this 599-nucleotide long non-coding RNA. RefSeq lists it as uncharacterized. The record is from RefSeq and is a predicted model, not a curated record. NCBI's taxonomy places the organism in Eukaryota, Viridiplantae, Streptophyta, Magnoliopsida, Rosales, Rosaceae. The transcript is spliced from 3 exons.